This 497-nucleotide ribosomal RNA is filed under the name uncultured bacterium. RNAcentral's name for it is "partial 16S ribosomal RNA". It matches the Rfam family "Bacterial small subunit ribosomal RNA", at positions 28 to 507 of the family's 1533-position model. The record is from RNAcentral.
GAUGAACGCUGGCGGCGUGCCUAAUACAUGCAAGUCGAGCGAACAGACGAGGAGCUUGCUCCUCUGACGUUAGCGGCGGACGGGUGAGUAACACGUGUAUAACCUACCUAUAAGACGGGUAUAACUUCGGGAAACCGGAUCUAAUACCGUAUAAUAUAUUGAACCGCAUGGUUCAAUAGUGAAAGACGGUGGUUCGGUCACUUAUAGAGGGAUCCGCGCCGCAUUAGAUGGUUGGUAAGUUAACGGCUUACCAAGGCGACGAUGCGUAGCCGAAGUGAGAGGGUGAUAGGCCACACUGGAACUGAGACGCGGUCAAGAGUACUACGGGAGGCAGCAGUAGGGAAUCUUACGCAAUGGGCGAAAGCCUGACGGAGCAACGCCGAGUGAGUGAUGACGGUCUUCGGAUCGUAAAACUCUGUUAUUAGGGAAGAACAAAUGUGUAAGUAACUAUGCACGUAUUGACGGUACCUAAUCAGAAAGCCACGGCUAACUACGUG